GACGAACGCUGGCGGCGUGCUUAACACAUGCAAGUCGAACGGUGAAGCGCCUUCCUUUUUGGUGGGUGUGGAUGAGUGGCGAACGGGUGAGUAACACGUGAGUAACCUGCCACCUUCUUCUGGAUAACCGCAUGAAAGUGUGGCUAAUACGGGAUAUUCUGGGUCUGUCGCAUGAUGGGUCUGGGAAAGAUAUUGUUUCGGUGGGGGAUGGGUUCGCGGCCUAUCAGCUUGUUGGUGGGGUGAUGGCCUACCAAGGCGGUGACGGGUAGCCGUCCUGAGAGGGUGGACGGUCACACUAGGGAUGAGACACGGCGCAGACUACGACGGGAGGCAGCAGGGGGGAAUACUGCACAGGGGGCGCACGGCUGAUGCAGCGACGCCGGGUGAGGGAAGGAGGCCGGCGGGUUGUGAACUUCUUUCGCCAGAGAAGCAGGCCGGCCUCGUUUGUGGGUGUGUUGACGGUAGCUGGAUAAGAAGCGCCGGCUAACUACGUG
This 494-nucleotide ribosomal RNA is filed under the name uncultured bacterium. Its description in RNAcentral is "partial 16S ribosomal RNA". It matches the Rfam family "Bacterial small subunit ribosomal RNA", at positions 28 to 507 of the family's 1533-position model. The record is from RNAcentral.